Molecule: transfer RNA, 72 nt
Filed under: Dasypus novemcinctus (nine-banded armadillo)
Lineage: Eukaryota; Metazoa; Chordata; Mammalia; Cingulata; Dasypodidae
Description: tRNA-Ala (AGC) (tRNA-Ala-AGC-5-1)
Rfam family: tRNA
About the family: Transfer RNA (tRNA) molecules are approximately 80 nucleotides in length. Their secondary structure includes four short double-helical elements and three loops (D, anti-codon, and T loops).
Source: RNAcentral
GGGGGCAUAGCUCAGUGGUAGAGCGCGUGCUUAGCAUGCACGAGGUCCCGGGUUCGAUCCCCAGUGCCUCCA